AUUGAACGCUGGCGGCAGGCCUAACACAUGCAAGUCGAACGAGUGGAGGACGUGUGAGUAAUGUCUGAGAACCUGCCUGAUGGAGGGGUAAGACUUCUGGAAACCUUCGCUAAUACCGCAUACUACCAUAUGGGCUGAGAUGGGUUUAGCUUGUUGGGGGGGUAACGGCACACCAAGGCGACGAUCCCUAGCUGGUCCGAGAGGAUGACCAGCCACACUGGAACGGAGACACGGUCCAGACUCCGACGGGAGGCAGCAGUGGGGAAUAUUGCACAAUGGGCGCAAGCCUGAUGCAGCCAUGCCGCGUGUAUGAAGAAGGCCUUCGGGUUGUAAAGCACUUUCAGCGGGGAGGCGUUACCCGCAGAAGAAGCACCGGCUAACUCCGUGCCAGCAGCCGCGGUAAUUC
Molecule: ribosomal RNA, 406 nt
Filed under: uncultured bacterium
Lineage: Bacteria
Description: partial 16S ribosomal RNA
Rfam family: Bacterial small subunit ribosomal RNA
Source: RNAcentral